Molecule: ribosomal RNA, 253 nt
Filed under: uncultured bacterium
Lineage: Bacteria
Description: partial 16S ribosomal RNA
Rfam family: Bacterial small subunit ribosomal RNA
Source: RNAcentral
UACGAAGGGGGCUAGCGUUGCUCGGAAUUACUGGGCGUAAAGGGAGCGUAGGCGGAUAGUUCAGUCAGAGGUGAAAGCCCAGGGCUCAACCUUGGAACUGCCUUUGAUACUGGCUAUCUUGAGUUUGGGAGAGGUGUGUGGAACUCCGAGUGUAGAGGUGGAAUUCGUAGAUAUUCGGAAGAACACCAGUGGCGAAGGCGACACACUGGCCCAAUACUGACGCUGAGGCUCGAAAGCGUGGGGAGCAAACAGG